Molecule: ribosomal RNA, 465 nt
Filed under: Vreelandella stevensii
Lineage: Bacteria; Pseudomonadati; Pseudomonadota; Gammaproteobacteria; Oceanospirillales; Halomonadaceae
Description: partial 16S ribosomal RNA
Rfam family: Bacterial small subunit ribosomal RNA
Source: RNAcentral
CCUACGGGUGGCAGCAGUGGGGAAUAUUGGACAAUGGGCGAAAGCCUGAUCCAGCCAUGCCGCGUGUGUGAAGAAGGCCUUCGGGUUGUAAAGCACUUUCAGUGGGGAAGAAAGCCUUGGGGCUAAUACCCUCGAGGAAGGACAUCACCCACAGAAGAAGCACCGGCUAACUCCGUGCCAGCAGCCGCGGUCAUACGGAGGGUGCGAGCGUUAAUCGGAAUUACUGGGCGUAAAGCGCGCGUAGGCGGUCUGAUAAGCCGGUUGUGAAAGCCCCGGGCGCAACCUGGGAACGGCAUCCGGAACUGUCAGGCUAGAGUGCAGGAGAGGAAGGUAGAAUUCCCGGUGUAGCGGUGAAAUGCGUAGAGAUCGGGAGGAAUACCAGUGGCGAAGGCGGCCUUCUGGACUGACACUGACGCUGAGGUGCGAAAGCGUGGGUAGCAAACAGGAUUAGAUACCCUUGUAGUC